AAAAGCAAAAGGUUGAAACAAAAGUAAGCUAGAUGUGAAUUGGCUUUUACAAUAUUGAUAGAGAAUUGUUAGAAACAUUUACAAUGUUGGUUACCAGUGUAUUAAAGUUUGUAGUUUCUCUAUUCUGAUUUUCGUUUUUAGGUAUUCAAAAAAGUCUGAUUGUAAAAACUGUUUAUACAGUCAGGUAAGUUAGGAGAAGAAUCUUAAUCAAAUGUGAUAACAAUUUUCUGAAAAAGUAUGAAUCAGCUUAAGUUGACACGCUUUUUCAAAUAACAUGAAUCCUAAAAGAUAAAUGUGGUAACUUUAUUGACUGGAGCCAUUAAAGAAGCAGGUUUGUUGGUCUCAAGUAGAUUUUACUUUAUUUACUGUGAACUUACUGGUCACUUCAAAAUAAAUGCCUUAUAUUCAUAAAACUUGUCUGACUUCUUCCUAUCUUAUUUUGUUUAAAUUAACUGAAUCUACUUUGCAACAGUUGAUAAACUGAGGGAACGAGGGAAGAAUUCUCUCUACUUUUAGCAAUUAAUAUAUAAUUACUCUCACAUGUAGUUAAUUAUUAAUACUUGAGGGCAGGGAUCAUCCUCCACACCGCUCCCCCACCAGACUUUGGAUGUGGACUGGUAAAUAGGCUAUCAGUAAAUCAUUGUUAGUUGACUUUUCACUCUGUUUGGGGAAACUGAUAUAAAAUUUGUCUUUUUUGAAGCUAUGAGAAUUUAUUAGUUUCUGGUUAUGCUAUUGUGUAUUGUAAUCUUACUUUUAGGUAUACAACACAUUAGUAUUGGCCCUGACUCUGACUUUUUAACUCACCCAUUUGAAGGUUAGGCAUGCCAUUUUUUUCAUCUCUGGUAGUAGUGAGGUGAAAUCUA
Molecule: long non-coding RNA, 863 nt
Filed under: Bos taurus (domestic cattle)
Lineage: Eukaryota; Metazoa; Chordata; Mammalia; Artiodactyla; Bovidae
Description: long non-coding RNA NONBTAT024686
Source: RNAcentral